UGGGGAAUAUUGCACAAUGGGCGCAAGCCUGAUGCAGCCAUGCCGCGUGUAUGAAGAAGGCCUUCGGGUUGUAAAGUACUUUCAGUCGGGAGGAAGGUGGUAAGGUUAAUAACCUUAUCAAUUGACGUUACCGACAGAAGAAGCACCGGCUAACUCCGUGCCAGCAGCCGCGGUAAUACUGAGGGUGCAAGCGUUAAUCGGAAUUACUGGGCGUAAAGCGCACGCAGGCGGUUGAUUGAGUCAGAUGUGAAAUCCCCGGGCUUAACCCGGGAAUUGCAUCUGAUACUGGUCAGCUAGAGUCUUGUAGAGGGGGGUAGAAUUCCAUGUGUAGCGGUGAAAUGCGUAGAGAUGUGGAGGAAUACCGGUGGCGAAGGCGGCCCCCUGGACAAAGACUGACGCUCAGGUGCGAAAGCGUGGGGAGCAAACAGG
RNAcentral lists this ribosomal RNA (429 nucleotides) under Chloroflexota bacterium. Its description in RNAcentral is "Chloroflexi bacterium partial 16S ribosomal RNA". It matches the Rfam family "Bacterial small subunit ribosomal RNA", at positions 355 to 776 of the family's 1533-position model. Lineage: Bacteria; Bacillati; Chloroflexota. The record is from RNAcentral.